UGGAUUGGGAGAACUACAAUGCGAGUAGGUUCCAUUUUGAGGAACACAAACCACCACCAAGAGUGAGUAAGAGUCUGAGUGAAGCGCAUAAGAAUAUUGGUUCGAUGACUGCUUGGAAUAAGUUUCAAGACAAGAUGUUGGAAAAUUGUGGCAAGGCCAUCAACGUAAUUCAGGCUGUACUGAGCUGCUCUUCCG
This 195-nucleotide microRNA precursor is filed under the name Arabidopsis thaliana (thale cress). RNAcentral describes it as "MIR854 microRNA precursor family". It matches the Rfam family "MIR854 microRNA precursor family". The record is from Rfam by way of RNAcentral. Lineage: Eukaryota; Viridiplantae; Streptophyta; Magnoliopsida; Brassicales; Brassicaceae.